UCCCGGGAUCCCCCCCAGGUUCCCAGGGAAGGGCCGUGCCGGGGGUGGAAACGGGAACCUUUAUUGGGGGUUUGGGGUCCGGGGGGACCCGAGAAGGAAACACCGGAAAUGGGGAAAGGAGGGAAAAGAAACCGGGAGGGGACAAAAAACGGGAACGGCCCCAAAGGGGGGGGGGAGGGGAAUGUCCUGUGUCUGUCCUGUGUCCGUGUGUCUGUCCUGUGUCCAUCCUGUGUCUGUCCUGUGUCCAUCCUGUGUCCGAGUGUCUGUCCUGUGUCUGUGUGUCCAUCCUGUGUCUGUCCUGUGUCCGUGUGUCCGUCCUGUGUCCGUGUGUCCAUCCUGUGUCCGUCCUGUGUCCAUCCCAUGUCCAUCCCAUGUCCGUGUGUCCAUCCCGUAUCCGUGUGUCCAUCCCAUGUCCAUCCCGUGUCCCUCCCGUGUCCGUGUGUCCAUCCCGUGUCCAUCCCAUGUCCGUGUGUCCAUCCCGUGUCCAUCCCAUGUCCAUCCCAUGUCCAUCCCGUGUCCGUGUGUCCAUCCCGUGUCCGUGUGUCCAUCCCGUGUCCAUCCCAUGUCCAUCCCAUGUCCAUGUGUCCAUUCCAUGUCCGUGUGUCCAUCCCGUGUCCAUCCCGUGUCCGUCCCGUGUCCGUGUGUCCGUCUCACAGCACGAUCCACGUGUAGCGCUCGUUGUCCGCCAGGACCUUCAGGGAGCAGCCUGGGGGGGGGAUGAAGCAGUUUUUGGGGGGAAAGACCCCCAAAAUCAACCCCCCAGACCCCCCGCAGG
Molecule: long non-coding RNA, 775 nt
Filed under: Manacus vitellinus (golden-collared manakin)
Lineage: Eukaryota; Metazoa; Chordata; Aves; Passeriformes; Pipridae
Description: lncRNA (ENSMVIG00005004258.1)
Source: RNAcentral